CGGAGACCGAUGAAGUAGCAAUACUUUAUCGGAAUUAGUGGCGGACGGGUGAGUAACACGUAGGUAACCUACCCCUGGGCGGGGGACAACUCCGGGAAACCGGAGCUAAUACCGCAUAAGUCCACGGAUUGAGAUAUCUGCGGGAAAAGUGGUAACACACCUGGGGAUGGGCCUGCGGCCUAUCAGGUAGUUGGUGAGGUAAUAGCUCACCAAGCCAAAGACGGGUAGCCGGGCUGAGAGGUUGAACGGCCACACUGGAACUGAGACACGGUCCAGACUCCUACGGGAGGCAGCAGUGGGGAAUCUUGCGCAAUGGGGGAAACCCUGACGCAGCGACGCCGCGUGGAGGAUGAAGGUCUUCGGGUUGUAAACUCCUUUUCUUGGGAAAGAUAAUGACGGUACCCAAGGAAUAAGCCACGGCUAACUCUGUGCCAGCAGCCGCGGUAAGACAGAGGUGGCGAGCGUUGUUCGGAAUUACUGGGCUUAAAGGGCGAGUAGGCGGUAGGGCAAGUCCAGGGUGGAAUCCUAUGGCUUAACCAUAGAAUUGCCUUGGAAACUGCUUUACUUGAGUCAGUGAGGGGAGGGCGGAAUUCCUGGUGUAGCGGUGAAAUGCGUAGAUAUCAGGAGGAAGGCCAGUGGCGAAGGCGGCCCUCUGGCACUGCACUGACGCUGAGGCGCGAAAGCGUGGGGAGCAAACAGGAUUAGAUACCCUGGUAGUCCACGCCCUAAACGGUGGGCAUUAGAUGUAGGGCUCGUAAGGGUUCUGUGCCGAAGGGAAACCAUUAAAUGCCCCGCCUGGGG
RNAcentral lists this ribosomal RNA (801 nucleotides) under uncultured bacterium. Its description in RNAcentral is "bacterial SSU rRNA". It matches the Rfam family "Bacterial small subunit ribosomal RNA", at positions 67 to 878 of the family's 1533-position model. The record is from RNAcentral.